UACGUAGGGUGCAAGCGUUGUCCGGAAUUAUUGGGCGUAAAGAGCUCGUAGGCGGUUUGUCGCGUCUGCUGUGAAAUCCCGAGGCUCAACCUCGGGUCUGCAGUGGGUACGGGCAGACUAGAGUGUGGUAGGGGAGAUUGGAAUUCCUGGUGUAGCGGUGGAAUGCGCAGAUAUCAGGAGGAACACCGGUGGCGAAGGCGGGUCUCUGGGCAGUAACUGACGCUGAGGAGCGAAAGCGUGGGGAGCGAACAGG
Molecule: ribosomal RNA, 253 nt
Filed under: uncultured bacterium
Lineage: Bacteria
Description: partial 16S ribosomal RNA
Rfam family: Bacterial small subunit ribosomal RNA
Source: RNAcentral